CCACCUGCUCCCAUUUAUGAUGGGGGCAAUAAUGUGUUAUAUAUUGCUAUAUAUCAUUAUAACAACCACAUUUACUUCCUUUGAAUAUUGAUGUAUAAUUUAUGAAUCAAUAAUAAUGUUGUCGAUUUUUGAUUGUAUGUAUUGAAAUAUACUGAAUACAUAUGUUUGUACAUAUAGUGUAAACCCUACAUUUUUCAUUUUAUUGGUAAAUAUGUUGUAUAUAAUUUUUUAUUUUGGCUUGGGUCUCUGGCUUGGCAAUUUUUCCUUUCUGGGUUCACCUAUAUGUGGGACUAGCUUGAGCCCGAAUUAGUUCUGGAGGUAAUGCGCAUCCUUCCCAAUAAGCCACUACAGCCCUUUUCCAUACAUCAGCCCAUUCACAUCCCUGUUCAGGGUCUCUCUCCCCUUCUUAUUAGUGAUUUUUUGUUUGUCUUAAUUCUUUAUUAUAUUUUGACUUCUACAAUAUAUGAUCUACUGCUUUUGCUUUCAUGUUUGAUUGCUUGGUUUGCCUUGAUCAGUCAGCUUGCGGUCAUGGUCCACGCCGCUCUGUGUAUGUGUGACUGUUUUGGUGCUGCUGGCUGGCAAUCGCUCUCUUUUAGUGCUCUGUGUUCCUCCCCUCUGCACUCAUACGUUUCCUUCCUUUUUUCCUUUUUCUCCAGAGUGCGGCUCUGCUGAUUGGCCGGUGUCAUCAUAUGACACGGCUGCUUCAGCGCUAAGGAGUGUGGGAAUUGUAGGCAUCUCAGCGACCAUGUGACCUCUGAGAUCCAAUCGCGAUGCACCCGCCUCCCCAACAGGCUAUAUAUAGCAUGAUAUGAUCAUUAUCUGUCUGCUACCAACAGGGUACUGACAGAUGUCUUUAUUCCUCUUAAAGAUAGGAGAUUAUCUGUGGACUUUUCAGCUGCAAUUGACUGGUCCUUGAUUUUUGCUGCAAACGACUAUCCUUUGACUUUCUAUCACCAGCUGAUGUUUGCUUGCACUCAGACUGUUCAUCUAGUUAAAUACUCCAUAUGAAUUGAGGCUCUUCAGUGCCCGUGUUAUUGUCUU
This is a long non-coding RNA of Rana temporaria (common frog), 1041 nucleotides long. RefSeq lists it as uncharacterized. Lineage: Eukaryota; Metazoa; Chordata; Amphibia; Anura; Ranidae. The transcript has 3 exons. The record is from RefSeq and is a predicted model, not a curated record.